UCUUUUCUUUUUCCAUCUCAGAACCUCAGUUAUAUAAAGGAUGUAAAGUUCAGGGCUUGGUAUCUCACAGCUCCACAGUGCUAUCUCCCUUUGGUCCUCAGAUCUCCUUGGGAGGCCAUUCUCUUUUUCCUGUCAUAGUCCCAGUGGCUCACUUGUUGUAGUCCAGCUGUUGCUGGACUCCCUUUCGCUGUGUUUCAGAAACAUUUUGGUUCGAGCAGGGAGUAAACAGUUCAAUUAAAUCCAGAGCCAGGGGUAAACAGCUUAGCUGGUGUCUCUUUCCCUUAUCAGGCCAGUAAAAGCAAUUCUUGAUAAAAAGCUGGAAUCACAAUAACUGUUACAGCAACUCCCAGGUAAUAACUUCAGAAUCCACAGACUCAAAAACACAGCUGAAGAUGUAAAAAUAAUUUUGGCUAAAAGACUCUAUAUCAAAAAUUAUGUGAAAAGGAGUUAGAUAAAACUACAAAAUUAUAAGCACCAUAUAAAAAGGAGUUAGAUAAAUGGAAAGAGCAAAGGAACAGCAAGGAAGAAAUGCUACUUCCACACCUUACCGGAAAAUCUACAGCUGUUUCUUUCAGUCUGUUCUCUGUGCCAGUAUAGAUGUGAAAAACUUGACUUACAGGUCAGUCACAGUGGGAUACUGAGGUACGUUAGUCCAGUAUCUUCUGAUGAAAGAGGUUAAAAAGCACAUAAUGGAUACAAUUUAUCACAUGACUUCCAUUUGUCACAGGGUUAUUGCCAGCACAACUGUAAUAUAUGUCUGUUCUGCAAAAAAAAAAAAAAAUACACAACUGGUCAGGCAACCUCAGCUAAGCCUCUCUCUCCAAAAUACAAACAACAGUAUUUUAAGCGUGGAUAAAUUAUCUAUCACUUCAAGAAGCAAGAGCAGAUGACAAACAUGAGUCACUUUGAGUUGCCAAAGAGUGGGUUGUGAAUGUAUAGGUGCUUUAGUGAGCUAAAGGGUAGGCUGGAGAGGGCCAUAGUAGUUCUGGUUUAUCCUCCCCAUGCUUCUGUCACAGUCAUGUAAAAAUACUAAUAAAUAUCUAUACCUGCAUCUUUUCCUUCUGGUG
This 1067-nucleotide long non-coding RNA is filed under the name Pogona vitticeps (central bearded dragon). Its description in RNAcentral is "lncRNA (ENSPVIG00000021590.1)". Lineage: Eukaryota; Metazoa; Chordata; Lepidosauria; Squamata; Agamidae. The record is from RNAcentral.